AUUGAACGCUGGCGGCAGGCCUAACACAUGCAAGUCGAGCGGAUGAAGGGAGCUUGCUCCUGGAUUCAGCGGCGGACGGGUGAGUAAUGCCUAGGAAUCUGCCUGGUAGUGGGGGAUAACGUCCGGAAACGGGCGCUAAUACCGCAUACGUCCUGAGGGAGAAAGUGGGGGAUCUUCGGACCCCACGCUAUCAGAUGAGCCUAGGUCGGAUUAGCUAGUUGGUGGGGUAAAGGCCUACCAAGGCGACGAUCCGUAACUGGUCUGAGAGGAUGAUCAGUCACACUGGAACUGAGACACGGUCCAGACUCCUACGGGAGGCAGCAGUGGGGAAUAUUGGACAAUGGGCGAAAGCCUGAUCCAGCCAUGCCGCGUGUGUGAAGAAGGUCUUCGGAUUGUAAAGCACUUUAAGUUGGGAGGAAGGGCAGUAAGUUAAUACCUUGCUGUAUUGACGUUACCAACAGAAUAAGCACCGGCUAACUUCGUG
This 484-nucleotide ribosomal RNA is filed under the name uncultured bacterium. RNAcentral's name for it is "partial 16S ribosomal RNA". It matches the Rfam family "Bacterial small subunit ribosomal RNA", at positions 30 to 507 of the family's 1533-position model. The record is from RNAcentral.